Molecule: ribosomal RNA, 207 nt
Filed under: uncultured bacterium
Lineage: Bacteria
Description: partial 16S ribosomal RNA
Rfam family: Bacterial small subunit ribosomal RNA
Source: RNAcentral
AGCGCAGGCGGUGCGGCAAGUCUGAUGUGAAAGCCCGGGGCUCAACCCCGGGACUGCAUUGGAAACUGUCGUACUUGAGUAUCGGAGAGGUAAGUGGAAUUCCUAGUGUAGCGGUGAAAUGCGUAGAUAUUAGGAGGAACACCAGUGGCGAAGGCGGCUUACUGGACGAUAACUGACGCUGAGGCUCGAAAGCGUGGGGAGCAAACA